CUGAGCAACCUGCCUAUCAGAGGGGGAUAACGAUUGGAAACGAUCGCUAAUACCGCAUGACAUAGCGGAACCGCUUGGUUCUGUUAUCAAAGAUUUUAUCGCUGAUAGAUGGGCUCGCGUCCGAUUAGAUAGUUGGUGGGGUAACGGCCUACCAAGUCGACGAUCGGUAGCCGGACUGAGAGGUCGAACGGCCACAUUGGGACUGAGACACGGCCCAGACUCCUACGGGAGGCAGCAGUGGGGGAUAUUGCACAAUGGGGGAAACCCUGAUGCAGCGACGCCGCGUGAGGGAAGACGGUCCUCUGGAUUGUAAACCUCUGUCUUCGGGGACGAAACGAGACGGUACCCGAGGAGGAAGCCACGGCUAACUACGUGCCAGCAGCCGCGGUAAUACGUAGGUGGCAAGCGUUGUCCGGAAUUACUGGGUGUAAAGGGAGCGUAGGCGGGCAGGCAAGUCAGGCGUGAAAUAUAUCGGCUCAACCGGUAACGGCGCUUGAAACUGCAGGUCUUGAGUGAAGUAGAGGUUGGCGGAAUUCCUAGUGUAGCGGUGAAAUGCGUAGAUAUUAGGAGGAACACCAGUGGCGAAGGCGGCCAACUGGGCUUUUACUGACGCUGAGGCUCGAAAGUGUGGGGAGCAAACAGGAUUAGAUACCCUGGUAGUCCACACCAUAAACGAUGAUU
RNAcentral lists this ribosomal RNA (681 nucleotides) under uncultured Bacillota bacterium. RNAcentral's name for it is "bacterial SSU rRNA". It matches the Rfam family "Bacterial small subunit ribosomal RNA", at positions 117 to 814 of the family's 1533-position model. Lineage: Bacteria; Bacillati; Bacillota. The record is from RNAcentral.